Molecule: ribosomal RNA, 208 nt
Filed under: uncultured bacterium
Lineage: Bacteria
Description: partial 16S ribosomal RNA
Rfam family: Bacterial small subunit ribosomal RNA
Source: RNAcentral
CUCGUAGGCGGUUCAGUAAGUCAGGUGUGAAAUCUUUGGGCUUAACCCAAAGCGUGCACUUGAUACUGCUGUGACUUGAGUUCGGUAGGGGAGUGGGGAAUUCCUAGUGUAGCGGUGAAAUGCGCAGAUAUUAGGAGGAACACCGGUGGCGAAGGCGCCACUCUGGGUCGAAACUGACGCUGAGGAGCGAAAGCGUGGGUAGCAAACA